CUACGGAGAAGAGUAAUCACAAUGCUCAUCAAGGAUGCUGGAGCUCCCGUCACAAACUUUUUUCUCAAAGUAUUGGUGAAAGAGGCGGUCACUGUUGGGGCAGUAUAGAAGACGACAGAUGAUUGUCGGUUCCAGAUUUUCAGCCCAUAAUUCUAACGAGCAAAGAGUUUUCUGACAAGCAGCAUCCUUUCUAUACUUUGACGGACAAUCUAAUCUCCAGGAAGAGCCUCAGUUCUUCAGUAGAUCAAAGCUGUACCUUCCACACUCAGUGGCUGCUGAACCUGAGAGAAAAAUGUGACCGAUACAGGAAGACAGUGCAGGGUGUCAAGACUUUUUCCAGAGAGAGGAAACUAGAG
RNAcentral lists this long non-coding RNA (356 nucleotides) under Equus caballus (horse). Its description in RNAcentral is "lncRNA (ENSECAG00000046602.1)". The record is from RNAcentral. Lineage: Eukaryota; Metazoa; Chordata; Mammalia; Perissodactyla; Equidae.